UACGUAGGGGGCAAGCGUUAUCCGGAUUUACUGGGUGUAAAGGGAGCGUAGACGGCCACUCAAGCCAGAUGUGAAAGCCCGGGGCUCAACCCCGGGACUGCAUUUGGAACUGUAUGGCUGGAGUGUCGGAGAGGCAGGCGGAAUUCCUAGUGUAGCGGUGAAAUGCGUAGAUAUUAGGAGGAACACCAGUGGCGAAGGCGGCCUGCUGGACGAUGACUGACGUUGAGGCUCGAAAGCGUGGGGAGCAAACAGG
RNAcentral lists this ribosomal RNA (253 nucleotides) under uncultured bacterium. Its description in RNAcentral is "partial 16S ribosomal RNA". It matches the Rfam family "Bacterial small subunit ribosomal RNA", at positions 524 to 776 of the family's 1533-position model. The record is from RNAcentral.